AACCCGCUCUAGCGAGUUAUCAUCGGAAUGAGUACAAUCUAAAUCCUUUAACGAGGACCUAGCGGAGGGCAAGUCUGGUGCCAGCAGCCGCGGUAAUUCCAGCUCCGCCAGUGUAUAUCUAUGCUGCUGCGGUUAAAAAGCUCGUAGUUGGAUCUUCGUGUUGAUGCCGGUCUGUCUUUGUGACAUGAACUGACCAUCAGCACUGUUUCGUUGGUUUUCCCUUGAUGCCUUUAAUCGGGUGUCCUGGGUGGCCAACAUGUUUACUUUGAAAAAAUUAGAGUGCUUAAAACAAGCGAUUUGCUUGAAUAUUCGUGCAUGGAAUAGUAGAAUAGGCUUUUGGCUCUAUUUUGUUGGUUUUCGGAGCACAAAAGAAUGAUUAAGAGGGACAGACGGGGGCAUUCGUACUCCGACGUUAGAGGUGAAAUUCUUGGAUCGUCGGAUGACGCACUACUGCGAAAGCAUUUGCCAAGAAUGUUUUCAUUAAUCAAGAACGAAAGUUAGAGGUUCGAAGGCGAUCAGAUACCGCCCUAGUUCUAACCGUAAACGAUGCCAACUAGCGAUCUGCUGGUGUUUUUUCAGACCCAGCAGGGAGCUUACCGGAAACGAAAGUCUUCAGGUUCCGGGGGAAGUAUGGUUGCAAAGCUGAAACUUAAAGGAAUUGACGGAAGGGCACCACCAGGAGUGGAGCCUGCGGCUUAAUUUGACCCAACACGGGAAAACUCACCCGGCCCGGACACCGUAAGGAUUGACAGAUUGAGAGCUCUUUCUUGAUUCGGUGGGUGGUGGUGCAUGGCCGUUCUUAGUUGGUGGAUUGAUUUGUCUGGUUUAUUCCGAUAACGAACGAGACUCCAACCUACUAACUAGUGGGCGAAUCUUCUUGUUCGCAACACUUCUUAGAGGGUCAAGCAGUGUUUAGCUGCAUGAGAAGGAGCAAUAACAGGUCUGUGAUGCCCUUAGAUGUCCGGGGCUGCACGCGCGCUACACUGAAGGAAUCAACGUGCUAGAAAACCUUGUUUGACAUGGCUAGGUAACCCCUUGAAAAUCCUUCGUGAUUGGGAUCGGGACUUGCAAAUGUGUCCCUUGAACGAGGAAUUCCCAGUAAGUGCGAGUCAUCAGCUCGCGCUGAUUACGUCCCUGCCCUUUGUACACACCGCCCGUCGCUGCCCGGAACUGAGCCGUUUCGAGAAGACUGGGGACUGCCGACUUAGGGCCCUCACGGGUUUUUUGUCAGUGGAAACCAAUU
This 1243-nucleotide ribosomal RNA is filed under the name metagenome. RNAcentral's name for it is "SSU rRNA". It matches the Rfam family "Eukaryotic small subunit ribosomal RNA", at positions 487 to 1759 of the family's 1831-position model. The record is from RNAcentral.